GUGCCAGCAGCCGCGGUAAUACGGAGGGUGCGAGCGUUAAUCGGAAUUACUGGGCGUAAAGACGCAUGCAGGCGGCCGUGUUAAGUCAGAUGUGAAAGACCCGGGGCGUUAACCUCGGAAUUGCAUUUGAAACUAGGCAGGCUAGAGUCUUGUAGAGGGGGGUAGGGAAUUUCAGGUGUAGCGGUGAAAUAGCGUAGAGAUCUGAAGGAAUACCAGUGGCGAAGGCGGCCCCCUCGGACAAAGACUGACGCUCAGAUGCGAAAGCGUGGGGAGCAAACAGGAUUAGAUACCCUGGUAG
RNAcentral lists this ribosomal RNA (298 nucleotides) under uncultured bacterium. RNAcentral describes it as "partial 16S ribosomal RNA". It matches the Rfam family "Bacterial small subunit ribosomal RNA", at positions 505 to 793 of the family's 1533-position model. The record is from RNAcentral.